AAGUUGAAGAUUGUGUUUAUGAUCAGAAUUACCUUCAGAUGCAUUAGUACUCAUGCAUACAUUUGAGCAAAUAUCUUGAUGUAAAUCAUCUAAUAAUUUUUCUAUACCACCAUAUUCGACAAGUUCUGCAGCAUCACUAUCAUCUUCAAUAUCGUCAUCGUCACGCACAACUUCAUUUGGAUCAUCCUUCCUAUGCCAUAUCUAGUGAGUAUACUUCUUGUCUAUACCAUAA
This 232-nucleotide long non-coding RNA is filed under the name Elaeis guineensis (African oil palm). RNAcentral's name for it is "long non-coding RNA (EGUI_LNC074463)". Lineage: Eukaryota; Viridiplantae; Streptophyta; Magnoliopsida; Arecales; Arecaceae. The record is from RNAcentral.